Oncorhynchus mykiss (rainbow trout) is the source of this 3575-nucleotide non-coding RNA. Lineage: Eukaryota; Metazoa; Chordata; Actinopteri; Salmoniformes; Salmonidae. The record is from RefSeq and is a predicted model, not a curated record.
UGUUAUAGCAGCAAAGGGGGGACCAACUCCAUAUCAAUGCCCAUGAUUUUGGAGAUGUUCGAUGAGCAGGUGUCCACAUACUUUUGGUCAUCUAGUGUAUGUCUGAUUAUAAGCACCCUGUCCCUUUUAGGCUGGUAUGCAGUGGCUUAACUAUCCCUGGCCUGUGUCAGUGUGCUCUCUCUCUCUCUCUCUUUGUUUUUACAGUACUCUACCCUGGUCACACCCCUGAAAUAAGGAACCCCUGUGAUUGAAUCCAGAGCAGGAACCUUAUAGAUCUCACUUUAACUCUCCCGGCCAAAGGGCUUUGAUGAGCCAUCAAACACUGCGGGAGCUAGCUGGCGCUACACACUAAUAAACACACCCUGCCUCUUAACCUAGCCCAUGUGAGCAAAGUGCUCUGUGCUGUGAAGGGAGGAUGUGGCGCAGCUCAGGCUAUUCUUUAUCUUCAGACUAGUGUUUAAGGCAAGAGAGCGAGGAAGAGAAAAGAAGUGGAGGGCAAGGGAGGGAGAGAGGAGCAAAAGGGGCAGAGACGGAGUCGUGGUGCCUCUGUGUCCUUACAGAGAUGCCCAAAGAUGUGUGUAUCUGAUGGAUGUUGUGUGCCUUCUGUCUCUCUCUGCCCCCUUUCCCUGCCGCCCAUCCUUACAUUUUAGUCAUUUAGCAGAUGCUCCUAUCCCGAGCAAUUUACAGUUAUUGCAUUCAUCUUAAGAAAGCUAGGUGGGACAACCACAUAAUAAGUCCACCUUUCCUCAAUAAAGUAGCUAUCAGCAAAGUCAGAGCUAGAAGGGGGGGGGGUCAAGUGCAAAUGUGAGGAGGGGAAUUAUUUAAAAUACUCUUUGAAGAGGUAGGGUUUCAGGUGCUUUCGUGAGAUGGAAGCUUCAGAUGGAAGCUGGCUCUACCAUUGGGGUGCCAGAAAAGAGAUUGCACUGGGCUGAGCAGGAGCUGCCCUCCCUUAGGGGUGGGAGGGCCAAGAGACCAGAGGUGGCAGAACGGAGUGCUCGGUUUGGGUUGUAGGGUUUGUGCAUAGCCUGAAGGUAGGGCGGGGCAGUUCCUCUUGCUGCUCUGUAGGUAAGCAUCAUGGUCUUGUAGUGGAAGUGCUCUUCGACUGGAAGCCAGUGGAGGAGCGGGAUGACAUGGGAGAACUUGAAAAGGUUGAAAACCAAGCGGGCUGCAGCACUCUGGAUAAGUUGCAGGGGUUUGAUGGGGCGAGUUGCAGUACUCCAGACGGGACAUGAUAAGUGCCUGGAUUAGGAACUGCGCCGCUUCCUGUGUGAGGUAGGGUCGUACUCUACGGAUAUUGUAGAGCAUGACCUGCAGGAGUGAGUCACUGCUUUGAUGUUUGCAGAGAACGAUUAGGGUGUUGUCCAGGGUCACGCCAAGGUUCUUUGCACUCUAGGAGGGAAACACUGUGGACUUUUCAAUCAUGAUGGAGAUGUCUUCCCCUGGAGGAAGAGUAGCUCCGUCUUGUCGAGCUUCCUGCUUCCUUUCCCGCCCUCUAUUUCCCUCCUCUCUCCCUUCUCCUCUCUCCAGGAUGAACCCUUCAGCUCUCAUAUACCUGAGACGCUCUUUAACAUCUCCAGGUACUUCCUGCACAACCUCACCAAGGAUGUACCACUGGGCAUUACUAAAGUUAACACUCUGUAUGCGUUGGCUAAGCAGAGCAGAACCCCGGGAGAGUUUGAGCUGGCCAGACCCUCUCGCUUCCAGGAGACCAUGGACCUGGGUAGCCUUACCGUCUGCUCCAAACCACUUCAACCAGGUGUGUAACCCAGGACCUGAUCUCCAUGUGCGCUGCUCCACCAACAACCCCCUGCUGGACAGCCAGGGCAGUGUGUGUAUCAACUGCAAACAGCCCUUGAUCUACACGGCAUCGUCAUACGGUCCUACCUCUGUCGCAGUUCUACCUGGACGAGGGUAUUGGUGAUGAGGAGGCUGUGUCUGUCAUUGCCCCGGAGGUCCCUCGCAUCGACAGGAAUGCCGCAGUAGGGGUAUCCAUUACCUUAUGCAGUGUACACCACUAAAAUCAACACAUUUCUCAUGACCACUUUUAGCUAAUGGGAAUAAUCUGUAUGUUAAGGUUGUGUGCUCGUACACGUUUCCAUACAUACACACAUUACAUACAGUAUGUGUAUGUGUCAGUGCUGAGGUGUGUGUUCUGAGAAGGUAGUAAUCCAAGUAUUUCUUGGCACUGAUUUAAUUUCUGCCGAGCAGCAUAAGCUGUCAGGCCUAAGUCAUCUUAGCGGUGAGAGUUAAUAGGGUUAGAGGGAAUCUUCUCUCUCAGUUUAAUGACACUAACACCUCAGAGACCUCUCUGUCUGGGAUUAACCUGCAUUAGCCUGCCUGCCACAAGGGCACGGUGGCCACGGCUUUUCCUAGAAACUACAUGCUGACUAACUCACUGACUGACCUUUAGUAGUCUACUCUCUCCGUCACUCUUACUGGCUGAGCUCUGAGGGUGAAAUGUUGUGCAUUUCAGUGUCUUUGUUUUUCUUUGGUGUUAAAAUGCUCAAAGUGGUGGCAUGGGUCUGUUAAUGGUGUAUGACUUAAAUGUGUGUAAGAAAGCAGGGAGCAGAAGUAUUGUGCACGUCUACGAGUGAGUCCUUAACGGUGUCAGAAUCCCAGUCCCUGAAGCUGGAUGAUGGCACGGAAGACACAAAGGAGGACAUCUUCAUGGCCAAACUCAGUUUUGAGUUGAGGAGGGAGGGACAGAAAGAGGGAAGGAUAUGGAAAGUGAGGAGUGAGAGGGUGGUUAGAAAGGUGGAAGAGAGGGAGGAGGGAAACUAACAGGAGAGUAUGAAUGGAAAGACUCAGUUUCCCUUUACAGAAGGGUGGGUCUGACUAUGUCCCAGUGGUGGUGAGUCGCUCUGUGCUGAGGUCUAUGAGCAGCAGGGAUGUCCUGCUCAAGCCCUGGCCUAAACCCCUUCAGUGAGAGUACUACCGCUCCUUACUGCCUGCUGUCAGCAUCAAUAUGUGCCGCUUUUAUGUUUAACUUAUUUUUGUGUUUCGUGUUUUUUUUACCAGAAGUGUCUUUUACCAAAUGUUGCUAGCGGUAGUGCUAGAUGUUGUGUUGCUAUCUAUGGGAAUCCCUCCUCUGCCUGGUGCUGUGUUCUCUGACCCAUUCAUCCUGUCUUCUCUGCUGUGUUUCCUCUAAUCUAGAUGUUCCACAGUGAAGACUAUAAGCUGCCAGAGAGCUUCAGCUUAACUGCUCUCUCUACUGCUGACUGCCGAUCGAUGAACCCAACUGACCUCCGCAAACUGGUUUAGAAUCACUUAAUCCAUCUCCCAGUUUAUUAAUAUAUUUUAUCAACAUUUCUACUUGGUUAUAAUCCAGCCAGUAAAUAUUUAUGUUCGAUUGUAUGCUGAUCUGGAAUCAGUUACAUGGCUUUCAUCGAAAGUCCAGUCUGAUUGAAAAAGGAGUUUCUCUCUUGCUCUUCUGAGGAAUAUUCCGCCCAUAUGCUCACACCCGAUCAGAAAUACAGUGUAGACAUUGUUAAUGUUGUAAAUGACUAUUGUACCUGGAAACUGCAGAUUUUUUAAUGGAAUAUCUACAUAGGCGUACAGAGGCCGAUUAUCAGCAA